Molecule: long non-coding RNA, 305 nt
Filed under: Androctonus crassicauda
Lineage: Eukaryota; Metazoa; Arthropoda; Arachnida; Scorpiones; Buthidae
Source: RNAcentral
UGGUGUGAACUAUAUAUAUUGAAUUUUUAAGAUGGAGUGUCUUUUAAAGGCAUGGAAUGGCCGUGAACCUCCGAGUCGGGGCGCCUGUGUCAUACAUCAGCGCCGUCGGGCUCUCUAUUGGGGAUGUUGUGCAUUCCCAUCAUUUCUGCAUUUCUGUUUUUCUGGGAGGUGCAUCCGGGCGGUUGGUGCAUCCACUGCCAUGCUCUCGUUGGGGAUUUUUCCAUUUUUCUUCUUUCAUUGUCUGCAGGGCCUCUGUUGGCAUGGCUUGGGACUUCCUCGGCGCCAGUCUUGUCGCUCUCCCUCUG